GAUGAAGAACGCAGCGAAAUGCGAUAAGUAAUGUGAAUUGCAGAAUUCAGUGAAUCAUCGAGUCUUUGAACGCACAUUGCGCCCCCUGGUAUUCCGGGGGCAUGCCUGUCCGAGCGUCAUUGCUGCCCUCAAGCACGGCUUGUGUGUUGGGCUCCGCCCCCCUCCCGGGGGGCGGGCCCGAAAGGCAGCGGCGGCACCGCGUCCGGUCCUCGAGCGUAUGGGGCUUUGUCACCCGCUCUGUAGGCCCGGCCGGCGCCCGCCGGCGACCCCAAUCAAUCUUUCCAGGUUGACCUCGGAUCAGGUAGGGAUACCCGCUGAACUUAAGCAUAUCAAUAAGCGGAGGA
This 344-nucleotide unclassified non-coding RNA is filed under the name soil metagenome. Its description in RNAcentral is "partial contains 5.8S ribosomal RNA, internal transcribed spacer 2, and large subunit ribosomal RNA". The stretch from base 1 to 119 matches the Rfam family "5.8S ribosomal RNA", at positions 35 to 154 of the family's 154-position model. The record is from RNAcentral.